UACAGAGGGGGCAAGCGUUGCUCGGAAUUACUGGGCGUAAAGGGCGCGUAGGCGGCCUGCUAAGUCGAACGUGAAAUCCCCGGGCUUAACCCGGGAACUGCGUCCGAUACUGGUUGGCUUGAAUUCGGGAGAGGGAUGCGGAAUUCCAGGUGUAGCGGUGAAAUGCGUAGAUAUCAGGAAGAACACCCGUGGCGAAGGCGACUACCUGGCCUGUUCUUGACGCUGAGGCGCGAAAGCUAGGGGAGCAAACGGG
RNAcentral lists this ribosomal RNA (253 nucleotides) under uncultured bacterium. Its description in RNAcentral is "partial 16S ribosomal RNA". It matches the Rfam family "Bacterial small subunit ribosomal RNA", at positions 524 to 776 of the family's 1533-position model. The record is from RNAcentral.